This is a non-coding RNA of Aegilops tauschii subsp. strangulata, 3896 nucleotides long. NCBI's taxonomy places the organism in Eukaryota, Viridiplantae, Streptophyta, Magnoliopsida, Poales, Poaceae. The record is from RefSeq and is a predicted model, not a curated record.
AAAAGAAAAAGACAUACCCUGACCCGCAGCCCAAACCCUAGCUAGCUCAGAUCCCCCAUUGCACCCCUCCUCCCUCGUCCCCAUCUCCUCGCCGCCGCCGCCACCUACUCCCCGUCCCCUGCACCACUCCUCGUCGCCAACCUACGGUGCCCGAUGCCGCCCGAUUCCUGCAGCCUCCGACGGCGCCCGAUGCCCUCCCCUCCGCUCCAUCCUCCCGUCGGGCAAGAUCCGCCGGGCUGUGCAGCACGACGGCGCCGUCGAUUUGAUGGUGCGUGGCAGCGGCUCCGACUUCGGGUUUCUGGUAGUGGCCUCAACCUUUCCUGGCACAAAAAUCCCCAUCCACAUCCUCUCCUCGACUCCCUCAGGCCUCGCCUCACCUCGCCGCCCCACCCACACCGACGACGCUCCCUGCCAGAUCCGCCAGCGCCGUCGUCGAGGUCAAGGGCUUCUUUGACCCGGUCCUUGACGGAGGGCAGGCUCGAGCACCGGGAGAUGACCUACGCGUGCUUCUACAUGGCCUAGAUCGAGCAAGGCAGGGUAGGGCAGUGAGACCCGAUCUGGUUUUGUGAAGGAAGGGGCCGGCCAUGGAGAAGAUCCCGCAGGCAUCAGAUCAUCCAUGGCGGCCUAGGAGGAGCCCCACCAGUUCAGUUUCGUCACUUGCUCCACCGGUUCAGAUCCGUCGUCACUCGAGCACGGGGAUGUCGGGUUGACUACUAUCGACGCCAACGGCGGCCGCCUGCCUCGUCAUCGACGACCACACCAACUGGCGUUGCCUCUCCCAUUCCAUGCCUGUUUAGUAGCUCUGUGUGGUCAUGUUUACAGUUGCAUGCAUAUGUUAACUAGGAUUAGAUAAAUGUUAAGAGACAAUGUCAUUUGGUACUCAAGGUUGCCUAAAAUUAAUCUGCCAUUGUUAACUGAAUGAACAGAAACAAUACUACAUGAGUUCCACUGGUUAGCUAGCUGUUACACAACUCUGCUCUAUGUCAUGAAUUUGGAUGAAGAAAAUUUGGUUGCUGGCCUAAAAAUUAACUGGUCUGUAAUUUGGUUGCUGCCUAAAGACGUCAAGAUUGCUGUGUGGUGGGGGGUUUCGUGUGCUUUUUCUGUUUUGAGGCGAAUGGUGGUGUAGUUAAAAUGUUGGGAUUCUUAAGGCAGGCCUCCAGUUCUGCGUACAUUUGUGCUUGAGUUGGAACCAACGCUUGCUCAUAAUAUAAACACAACUGUGUGCACAGUUUAGCUAAUUAUACUAGGGGUGAUCAAGAGUGCACUGCAGUGGAAUGGAUUAUUGGCUGUGAUACUUUUUUUUAUUAAUCUGCAAACACGUGUACAGUGCAUUGUUGCUAGUUUGCUUAGAUAUGUUCUGUUCUCAUCUUGGAUGAGUAGUGUUUUCUAGCCCAAUAUAUGUACCAGUUUAUGUCAAAUUGCAGACAAGUCCACCCUGGAUCUGCAUCUGCCAAGGUUAUUAAUAACAUAACUUGAUGGAAUUUUACUCUUUUAAUCACAAUAACAUAGCAGUAACAUGUUAUCACUUUGGAUGAAGAAAAUCAUUUGUAAUAAGUUCUUCCAUGUUUAAUUGCCUCCAUUGUGAAGCGGUGUUUGGUGUUGUAUCAUUUCCUGCUACAUGGUUCAAUCAACUACAGUAGUCAUUUCAUGCCUGGGACUUGCAUAUGUUCUUCUGCACUUGAAACAUCAACAUGUAUUUUUCCUUGUUUUCUGGAAUAAUUGGUAAACUUCAUAUUAUGCAAACCUGUUGCAUUUCGCACAAUCAAAGCUUGUUACUACAUCAGUUGCUUUCUCCAAGUGUCUUGGUCUUGGAUUUUAUCUCGAUAUGCACAACACUCCUAUAUUUCUGGACCAUAUGCUAUCUAGCUGUUGGGUGCUAAUUCUAGUUACUUUAUAUGAAGCAACAGUUAUCUUGCAGCCAUCUAAUAUGCAAUUCUAAUAAUAUUUCAUAUCCUGAUUUUUAAGUUGUAUAUGUCAUUCAUGCAUGAAUUCCUUUCUUAUGUACCAGCUCCCUAAUCAUGUUUUUUGUUUUUCGGGUUGCUAUCUUAGGAUAGAAUCCCUUCUCGUCUCUUGUUGUGAUUCCUGCCUUUGGUUUGAUUUUUUUUUUGUGCAGGUUGCUCAGAUCUGAUCUGGACGAGUUGUUGCUGCUCCCGCAGGUGGAUGACGAGGCCUCAUGGCUGCUCCCUACUCCUCCAACCACAUGACUUGGUGUGGUCAGCUCAUGUCAUGUCAUCUCAUCUCAUCUCACGCGCACAACAAACUUUGGAUUGUUCUAGACAUGUCUUGGUUCAGUAUUUGAAAAUUUGAUUGCUAUGGUGUUGGUUGAGGCUGGCUUGAGCAGAGGAAAAUCUAUUCCUUUUUUUGAUGAUCAUGGUGGUACUGCUGUCAUGUUGCUUCUUGUAGUUAGUAUACACAUGAACCUGAUAAAAUGGUCCUUGAUAUGAUGGAAUUAGUAGCAGUUGUGUGGGUUUACACUGUUGUGCCUAAACUACUAUGGUCGCCAAGCCAGCAUCCAUUGCAUCAAUCCUCAUGAAUUAGUGGACAAUGUACACAUAAACUCUAUGGAACAAUAAUGAUAGUGAUCCAGCACAAUAGUUUACUUAAUUCCUUUGCACUACCUUGCCGUUUGAUAGCUCUUUUAUGGUUUGGAUGUAUAUACGUGAUGGUGGGCUGUUGGAUGUGGAUUGUGAGUCCACGGCAAGACCAACCUCGAAACAUCAAGGUAUAUAUAUGGUGUGCUUAUGCAAAAGCUGUUGAUGUGCACUUAUAUCCAUAUUCACGUCUAAGAUCGUCAACUGAGAUGUUUCUAUUGUAAAUGUUUCUGUUAUGUGUUGCUUGCUCAUUCAUGCUUUGUUAGAUCUUUUGCUCGAAUUGCGAUAUUUAUUGUGGGCAAAUGUCAAGUACAUAUUUGUUACUUUAUAUUCUAGUGUUGUUUGUACAUGCUUUCUGGCAAAUGUUCUGUUAGCUAAUUUGAAGAUAACAGUGAGUGCUAGUGCUUAAUGUUUCUGUUCAUAUAGCUAACCAGCUGCUGUUGUGCAUAAAAUUGCAGGAUCUUUGCGUGUAAGUUCUGGCUGUAGUGUGCUCUCACGUUGUACAUGCCCCUAUGUUUAGUAAGAUUAAAUCGCUAAUCUUAAUGAUGAAUGGUUAAGUUUUUCAAUUUGAAGCAGCACCUACUUUCUGGUCCUGUAGUGUUUAAACUGAUAAUUAUGAUGCAUUGGUCCAUAUGGCCUUGUUUUUUAAUGCAUAUAUAUGAUUUAGUUGACAAGCCUUGAUCUCAACCUCUGAAGUUUAACAAACUGGUCUAUAUUACUGAGGAUGUAUAAUGUAGAAGUAUAUAAACCAUAAAUUCAAGCUUCUGAUGUAGCAUGCUCAAUAUAUACUGUUAUAGAAUAGUGUGUUCUACAAAAGGUUGAAACAGCAUGGUCUCGGUCAUUUGUCGGAAGUAGAAACACUAAGGCUGACAUCUUUUACACCUCACUGUUUUAUUUGUUUUUUCUAAUUUAAUUUUGUGGAUAGUAAAUUUGCAAUUGUAAAAAAAUGCAUUUUACGUUUCCAUGCCCUGUAGUGAUGAAGCAUGUGUCUCUGAUAUUCUGCAUGACUGAAAUGCUGAUAUCUUGUAUAAAUUUGGCUUUUGUGGGUAAUCCUUUUCCUUGCCACGUUCAGCUGCAUCACUAUGAUGCCCAUGAAGGGUGAUAGGAACCAUCUUCCUGCCGCCAUGAAGGGCCACUCGAAGCUGUCAAAAGGCACUUGUAUAGCUUGUGGAGGUGAUUAUACUUGUAGACACUUGUGGCUGUGAUUACAUUUGUAGAGCUUGUGGCUGUGAUUAGCAUUGUAACUAAGUUAUAUGAUGUAAUGGAAUUAUUUUGGCUGUUAUUUGAACUAUUAUGUGUGCUUUC